AUGCCGCGCCUCUACGCUUCUCCGCCCCACUCCGCGACGCCUCGCUGCUCCGCGCCGCCGUCCUGCUACCCGGCGCCGAUCCGCUCCACCGCGCGGCCGCAUUCCAUGCCGCCGCUCCGCCCCACGGCCCUCUUCUGCCGGAAUCCAAGGGUUUCAGGAGUCCAGAUUGCUACAGCGUCAGAGGCCCAGCAGAUACGGUCGAGUUCUGGAAUCAUAGCAAUGAAGAGGCCCAACAUGUUGCAAAGUUUCAGAGCUUUCAGUUCCACUGGACCAGAUGCUCCCACUGGACCAGAUGCUCCCGUCGUUAAGCAGUUGAUGUUUAACGAUGAUUACGAGAUUAAAAACGAAGUACUCACUUGCUUGAAGGAGUCUUUAAUCUCUGGUAGUAUUCUGAAGCCUACUCGUCAAGGUGGACUGCUCACACCUGACCACAUGCAAAUAUUUGGUGAUUCUGUUCUCGGGGAUGUGGGCUUUGGAAUUCUCAAGCACGGAUGCUAUCUAGCCACUGUGAAUUUGAUGCGUGGAGUCAAUGUUAGUCCGUUGCUAAGGUUGGACAACCUUCUCUGGUCAGCAAAGCAUGGAGGUAUCAUGUUUGACAAGAUCUCUUUGAAGGCUGGAGAGCAAGGACAGCCCUUGAAGGCUGGAGAGCAAGGUUGCCCAUAUAUGGCUGUCGGCACAUUAUUCCUCGAAUGCUUAGAAGUGUCCACUGGUCUGAAGUCAGAGGAGAUCCGAAUACCAUGGGAUGUGAACCAUCUCCUAGGCUAUCUUGCAGAAGCCGGGAAAAUGGAUAAGAGACUUACUACCAAUCACUCUGCUAUAAGACUCCCAGGCGAACGCGUAGUGAGGAACUGCAAUGCAUAUCGCUUCCUCCGUCACCAAGUCGAAUACGAGGUUAAGAAAGGUCCAGGACAUUAUCAAGAGCACAGAAGAUAUUCUGGAAAUCAACAAUUGCAGAACCUUGCGAACAAUGUGCAUCGUGACCUUGCUUCAAAAUUGCCGCUCGAGUUAUUUCAACCUGCAGGGCUGCAUCCUUUUGUUGAUUAUUGGGCACGUGAGGGUCAAGCUAUGCGUGGACUUGGCAGCCGGAUGUCAAAAUGUCCCCUGACCAUACCAUCUGGACCAUAUGGUACUGAGCUUGAUAACGUCACCCUGGGUAUUGAAGUCGGGGAAAAUGUCUAUAGCCCUUCACAGAGAUCCAUUUGA
This 1203-nucleotide ribosomal RNA is filed under the name Triticum aestivum (bread wheat). RNAcentral's name for it is "partial small subunit ribosomal RNA". The record is from RNAcentral. Lineage: Eukaryota; Viridiplantae; Streptophyta; Magnoliopsida; Poales; Poaceae.